RNAcentral lists this ribosomal RNA (465 nucleotides) under uncultured Klebsiella sp. RNAcentral describes it as "bacterial SSU rRNA". It matches the Rfam family "Bacterial small subunit ribosomal RNA", at positions 338 to 795 of the family's 1533-position model. Lineage: Bacteria; Pseudomonadati; Pseudomonadota; Gammaproteobacteria; Enterobacterales; Enterobacteriaceae. The record is from RNAcentral.
CCUACGGGUGGCAGCAGUGGGGAAUAUUGCACAAUGGGCGCAAGCCUGAUGCAGCCAUGCCGCGUGUGUGAAGAAGGCCUUCGGGUUGUAAAGCACUUUCAGCGGGGAGGAAGGCGGUGAGGUUAAUAACCUCAUCGAUUGACGUUACCCGCAGAAGAAGCACCGGCUAACUCCGUGCCAGCAGCCGCGGUAAUACGGAGGGUGCAAGCGUUAAUCGGAAUUACUGGGCGUAAAGCGCACGCAGGCGGUCUGUCAGGUCGGAUGUGAAAUCCCCGGGCUCAACCUGGGAACUGCAUUCGAAACUGGCAGGCUAGAGUCUUGUAGAGGGGGGUAGAAUUCCAGGUGUAGCGGUGAAAUGCGUAGAGAUCUGGAGGAAUACCGGUGGCGAAGGCGGCCCCCUGGACAAAGACUGACGCUCAGGUGCGAAAGCGUAGGGAGCAAACAGGAUUAGAUACCCUGGUAGUC